CAUAUACUCCCUCCGUCCAGAAAUACUUGUCAUCAAAAUGAAUAAAAGGAGAUGUAUCUAGAUGUAUUUUAGUUCUAGAUACAUCCCUUUUAGUUCAUUUUGAUGACAAGUAUUUUCAGACGGAGGGAGUACUUU
Triticum aestivum (bread wheat) is the source of this 135-nucleotide non-coding RNA. NCBI's taxonomy places the organism in Eukaryota, Viridiplantae, Streptophyta, Magnoliopsida, Poales, Poaceae. The record is from Rfam.